Molecule: long non-coding RNA, 473 nt
Filed under: Mytilus galloprovincialis (Mediterranean mussel)
Lineage: Eukaryota; Metazoa; Mollusca; Bivalvia; Mytilida; Mytilidae
Source: RNAcentral
AUUUUCAAUUGUUGUUUAAUGCGCUAAGGUUAUUUAUUUGAUUUAAAUAUUGGGGGAAAACCCCUUUAAUAAGGCCUCAUAUCAUGCUCGCGGAGAAAUAUACAUGAAAUUUACAUUUCCCUGUUGAAACUCACACUCGAUGGUGAAUGAAAUCGUUUGAGCAUGGACUAAAAUAUCAUCAUAAGCACAAAACAUAAUGAAUUAUAGGUUGCUAACAAAAAAUAUUAACAAAUGAAAUAUGUUUUUCCAUUAAUUGCAAAAGAAACAAGGUUGAGUCGGUCCAUUCAUCGUUGUAUGCAAUUGAAACAAGAACAGGUUGAAGAGGUCGUAUGAAUAAUUAAAUAUAAUUUAGGCAACUUCUAUUUAAAUAUUCAUGAGGAAAAAUGAUAUCGGGUCAGUGACUGUAUAUGACAUGGAAAUAUACAGUCAACGCAUUUUGACUGCUGAAAUAGAACGAGUGCAGUAUAAACACC